This 344-nucleotide long non-coding RNA is filed under the name Salvia miltiorrhiza (redroot sage). Its description in RNAcentral is "long non-coding RNA (SMIL_LNC009647)". Lineage: Eukaryota; Viridiplantae; Streptophyta; Magnoliopsida; Lamiales; Lamiaceae. The record is from RNAcentral.
GCUGAGGGUGUUGGAUACGGUACCUGCUGACGUGGAGAGCUCACCAUCAUUGCAUCAACUAUGUGAGUUAUUUCAUUUAAGAUAUCUUGCUAUUAACUAUAUGGAAUCUAUUCCUAAGGGAUUAUCGAUGCUUAAGAAUCUGCAAACCUUAAUCAUUGAUAGAGAAAGGCGAGAAAAAUUCUUUGUUGGAGUAGUUUGUAAUCUUGUGUUGGGUUGGGACACGCCACAACUAAGACAUGUUCACUUUCACGGCACAAUCUGUUUUGAGGAUCCAAAUGAAACAACUCUCUCUCUAGAAAGCCUACAAACACUGUCCUAUGUGUCACAUUCGAAUUGCACUGAAA